CGACCUCUGGGUUUUGUUCCUUUUCUCUGCUCCUGCAGCAGCUGCGGAGCUCACAGCCGCUCAGGGCUGUUCCACGCAGCUGGAAAGGUCCCAGAGGGCAAAACCCCACCUCAGUUGCAGCACCAGCACCGCACCGCGAUAUUAUUUUUGCCUUCAUGUAAAGCCCUGCAAAUCCCUCCUUCAGUGCCGACGAAGCCAGAACGUUCCAUUCUCCUGGCUCUACGGAUGGGAAACUGCUGCCGAGCUGCUGGCUGAGGAAGGUUAUUAAAUGUCCGGGAGAAAUAAAGCUGCUCUUUUGUUUUGUUUAAUAGUAGUUUUCCUCCCCUGAGCUGGAGAGGGUGGUGUGUGCUUCGUGCUGUGGUGAUAUGGAGCACUGCAU
This 379-nucleotide long non-coding RNA is filed under the name Gallus gallus (chicken). The record is from RNAcentral. Lineage: Eukaryota; Metazoa; Chordata; Aves; Galliformes; Phasianidae.